Trichonephila clavipes is the source of this 73-nucleotide non-coding RNA. NCBI's taxonomy places the organism in Eukaryota, Metazoa, Arthropoda, Arachnida, Araneae, Nephilidae. The record is from the annotation of a GenBank genome assembly.
GGGGGCGUAGCUCAUAUGGUAGAGUGCUCGCUUAGCAUGUGAGAAGUACCGGGAUCGUUACCAUGCGCCUCCA